This 816-nucleotide unclassified non-coding RNA is filed under the name Nilaparvata lugens (brown planthopper). RNAcentral's name for it is "uncharacterized LOC111049588, transcript variant X1". The record is from RNAcentral. Lineage: Eukaryota; Metazoa; Arthropoda; Insecta; Hemiptera; Delphacidae.
UUCUAACUUUAGUUAAUUUCUCAUCUAAUUUCUCUCUCUGAAAAGUGGCGUGAUUUUCCGAGUGACCAGCAAGGGAAAUUACGUCUUGAAAAGGCAGUCGUGAUCGAGCAUGAGAUUGAAACACAGCCUGAACGGGCUCCAGAGGCCGAGCAGAAGACUCCAAAAUGUUCGUAAAAGUGAUCUUUUUGUUAAUUGUGAUCGGUAUGCCAAUGAUUAUCCACUCGGAAGGUGAAAUCUAGAUGGGUAUGUAGACUAUACGGCGAGAACGAUUCGACUAUUCAGGAGCUAUUCAGGAGCUAUUCAGGACUAAUCAUAUCAGUGAUGAUUUCUCUGUGAUUUCAAGGUUGAACUCUAUAAUUGAGAUCAGUAGAGUUCAAUCAAUUAUCAAAUAAUUUAACAAAUUUGUGAUCGAAAGAGGAUUGUCGGGGAGGGAGUCCAAUCUCACAAGAUAUCAAACUAUCUAGAUAUGAACCAAAAAAUUUAAAUAAAUAACUAUCACUUUCCUGAAAGAUACCUUCUUAAGAACUCAAUACAACAAUACUUUAUAGAAUGAUAAAAUUACGUGUCUCAGAGUCAUUCGCCUUUUCAGGAUCUCUGCAGUUCAGUUUAUAACGAUGCAUGGUUUUUCAGAACAGAUAAUGCAACGGUGAAAAUAAGAGCUCCAAAAUAUUAAUCUUGGAGAGGAAUAGUUUUCUGAUAUUCAAUUUCCUGUUCUAGUGACAUUAAAUAUUUAUACGCAAUAAUUACAUAUCAUUUGAGAAGCUAUUUCAGAAUUCACAUAGGGAUCAUUAUGUAAUUAAAUUAUACAUAAAAAAA